Molecule: non-coding RNA, 163 nt
Filed under: pig gut metagenome
Description: Lysine riboswitch
Rfam family: Lysine riboswitch aptamer
About the family: Riboswitches are metabolite binding domains within certain messenger RNAs that serve as precision sensors for their corresponding targets. Allosteric rearrangement of mRNA structure is mediated by ligand binding, and this results in modulation of gene expression.
Source: RNAcentral
AAAGUAGAGGCGCGAUGUCCAUCAGUAGCUUAUUGACAAGGCCGGACAGCCGUAAUAAGCGAAAGGGGCCAUCGCCGAAGUGUUGAACGUAUGUCCGUGUGUUCAAUGCUGGGCCUGCGGAGAAAAUCCGCAGGACUGUCACAUUUUGUGGAGCGCUACUGAA